AUUGAACGCUGGCGGCAGGCUUAACACAUGCAAGUCGAGCGGGGUGAUGGUGCUUGCACUAUCACUUAGCGGCGGACGGGUGAGUAAUGCUUAGGAAUCUGCCUAUUAGUGGGGGACAACAUCUCGAAAGGGAUGCUAAUACCGCAUACGUCCUACGGGAGAAAGCAGGGGAUCACUUGUGACCUUGCGCUAAUAGGUGAGCCUAAGUCGGAGUAGCUAGUUGGUGGGGUAAAGGCCUACCCAGGCGACGAUCUGUAGCGGGUCUGAAAGGAUGAUCCGCCACACUGGGACUGAGACACGGCCCAGACUCCUACGGGAGGCAGCAGUGGGGAAUAUUGGACAAUGGGGGGAACCCUGAUCCAGCCAUGCCGCGUGUGUGAAGAAGGCCUUAUGGUUGUAAAGCACUUUAAGCGAAGAGGAGGCUCUUUUGGUUAAUACCCAAGAUGAGUGGACGUUACUCGCAGAAUAAGCACCGGCUAACUCUGUGUCAGCAGCCGCCGUAA
This 503-nucleotide ribosomal RNA is filed under the name uncultured bacterium. Its description in RNAcentral is "partial 16S ribosomal RNA". It matches the Rfam family "Bacterial small subunit ribosomal RNA", at positions 30 to 523 of the family's 1533-position model. The record is from RNAcentral.